Molecule: long non-coding RNA, 575 nt
Filed under: Gallus gallus (chicken)
Lineage: Eukaryota; Metazoa; Chordata; Aves; Galliformes; Phasianidae
Source: RNAcentral
GUCUAAUUCCCACAUUGUCACAGGAACAUGUGUGAUGGUGGUAGUCAUCCUUGUGGAUUGUCCUCUUGUUCUUCAAAGAUCAUUAAACACAAUUACAGGAAAAGAGAUCUUUGUUUCUGAGCAAAACUCGGCUUUUAUGUAACAGAUGCUCAUUGUGACGUGAACGUAAUUUCAGUACCUGCAUAGGAGAAAUGACGACCGGAGCCACCCGAGCUUAAAGACAUAUUGAUUGUGAUCUGGUAGCUAGAAGAUGACAAGUUGCCUGAUGGUGAAGGUCAACCACACAGUCAUCUGCUGAAGGUCAACUGCUGGCACACAGACCUCUCAGGUUGGAUUUGGGGUUUGAAAGCCAGCACACCAAGUUCCCGUUCGUGUUACAGAUGUUGCAUUGACUCCAAGUUGGCAUGAACAGCAAUAUGAGCUUGUACACAAGACCCUGGUUUGACAGAAAGGUUUGCACAGGUUUCAGAAGCACUUCUGAAAACAGAAACGUUCUUCUUGAAAAACUGUAUGUAUCACUCCACAAAAAGUACAACCAAUCUAUUAAGUGAUCCAAGUAAGACUGCAAGACAGCC